This 398-nucleotide ribosomal RNA is filed under the name Alopoglossus brevifrontalis. RNAcentral describes it as "partial 12S ribosomal RNA". It matches the Rfam family "Bacterial small subunit ribosomal RNA", at positions 782 to 1397 of the family's 1533-position model. The record is from RNAcentral. Lineage: Eukaryota; Metazoa; Chordata; Lepidosauria; Squamata; Alopoglossidae.
AUACCCCACUAUGCCUAAGCACAACUAAGACUAACCGUCCGCCAGAAAAUUACGAGCGAAAGCCUAAAAAUCAAAAGACUUGACGGUGUCCCAACCUUCCUAGAGGAGCCUGUUCCAUAAUCGACAACCCACGAUAUACCUAACCACCCUUAGAAAUACAGCCUAUAUACCGCCGUCGCACAGCUCACCUUUUAAAAGAAUACAAGUAAGCCAAAUAGUAAAAUACUAAUAAGUCAGGUCAAGGUGUAGCUUAUAGGGUGGAGGAAAUGGGCUACAUUAUUUACAUUAAAAUAUACGAACUUAUAUAUCUGAAAAAGAAAAUGAAGGCGGAUUUAGCAGUAAUUUAAACAAGAAUAUUUAAAUUAAUACCAGCUCUGGGACACGUACACACCGCCCGU